Molecule: non-coding RNA, 73 nt
Organism: Acomys russatus (golden spiny mouse)
Lineage: Eukaryota; Metazoa; Chordata; Mammalia; Rodentia; Muridae
Source: the annotation of a RefSeq genome assembly
GCCUGGCUAGCUCAGUCGGCAGAGCGUGAGACUCUUAAUCUCACUGUUGUAGGUUCAAGCCCCACUUUGGGUG